This is a long non-coding RNA of Puntigrus tetrazona (Sumatra barb), 476 nucleotides long. RefSeq lists it as uncharacterized. Lineage: Eukaryota; Metazoa; Chordata; Actinopteri; Cypriniformes; Cyprinidae. The record is from RefSeq and is a predicted model, not a curated record. The transcript has 6 exons.
CGCCAUCAUUUGUGAACUCGCACUGAAGAACCCCGAGAUUGUGGCCCAGCGGGGAGGUUUGAGCACCAUCCUGAAGAACGUCAUUGACUGUCAGCUGAGCCGCAUCAACGAGGCCCUGAUCACCACCAUACUGCACCUGCUCAAUCACCCACACACGCCAGUACAUACGUGCUGAUGUUGAACUGGAGCAAAUUCUUGCACCUUACACAGAUUUUCACUACAGACACAGCCCUGACACAGCAGAGGCACAAAUCAAGGAGGACAGAGAAGCUCGUUUUUUAGCCAGUAAAAUGGCUAUCAUUGCAGCCUUCCGCUCGUGGUCAGGUAUUAUUAACCUGUGUAAAUCAGGGAACUCAGGAGUCCAGUCUUUGAUAGGCCUGCUUUGUAUACCAAACAUGGAAGUCAGGAAAGCCUUAUUAGAGGUCAUGUAUGAGAUCUUCAGGUUGCCUGUUCCUAUAGUGACAGGAGAUUUUGAG